Molecule: non-coding RNA, 246 nt
Organism: Pelobates cultripes (western spadefoot toad)
Lineage: Eukaryota; Metazoa; Chordata; Amphibia; Anura; Pelobatidae
Source: the annotation of a GenBank genome assembly
CAGAGUAGCUGUCGACAUUAUAGUUGCGCAAGCACUUUGAUGACUCUAGAGAACCUCGGGCCAAUCGCACGUCCCCGUGACGUCUGCCCUAUCAACUUUCGAUGCCACUUUCUGCACCUACCCUGGUGACCAUGGGUAAUGGGGAAUCAGGGUUCGAUUCCAGAGAGGGAGCCUGAGAAAUGGCUAACACAUCCAAGGAAGGCAGCAGGCGCGCAAAUUACCCACUCCCAACGUGGGGAGGUAGUG